Molecule: long non-coding RNA, 552 nt
Organism: Scylla paramamosain (green mud crab)
Lineage: Eukaryota; Metazoa; Arthropoda; Malacostraca; Decapoda; Portunidae
Exons: 3
Source: RefSeq, a predicted model, not a curated record
CCUCUUCUAGUAUAUUUCCACAAAAUAUGAAUGCACAAAAUCCCCUAAAAAUGAUUUGUUUUUAUAAGUUAGAAAUAAAAUCUGCAUAUUGAGAUGGUCUUUUUGGCAGCGCCAAAACAGUGUAAACACAGAUCUGUGACCGAGGUGAGCUCCAGCCGCUGUUGUGUUUAUUUUACCUGUCCCACGAACACAACAGCGGCCUGGCCAACAUUCAGCGACCUGGAGACACAUUACCAAAUGACUGCUGCGAGGGGAGGCUUGGCUAGCUGACUAACUGAAAUAAGCCUCAAGAUCAAUGCAAACCGCAAGACCUUACACCAUAUAUAAUACAAUGAAGGAUAUUAUUGUUACUACUGUUUAUCCAAGCCAGCAUCACCACCACCACCACCACCACCACUUCAAGCUUCGUAAAAGCACUCAUCCAGGUGGAGGUAGAACCAGUGGGACGAUGGUUCCACAUAUAUGAGGCACGGCGUCUGCGGGGCCACCUCACCUCCUCAGUUGGGGAAAGUGAAGAGGAGAGUGAGGAGGAGGAGGCUCAGGAGGUGGAGG